GCGGCAUCUAUUCUGCACCGUGGUUACAUGUCAGUAACUAAACACACUCGUGUACUCCAGCGGAUUUAACCAGUGAAAUAGAUUCCUAUUGCUGAAGCUUGGGGAAAGUGGGUGGGGGUGUUUCCGUUCGAAACACUUUUUCUUAAAACACCCUGAAACUUUUCAGAUUAUAUAUAAAUAUAAACCAGUAGAAACAGUUCAAACAGGCUUGGAAGCUAAACCACACAUGAAGACCAGGAGCUGGACUUGAUUGUCAGAGGCUAUUUGAAGCACAAACCAUUGGGAGCCUUUAAUGGGUAGUGGGAGCUUAUCUCCAUUACCACCCUUUGAUAUAACCUUGUAGUAUAUGAUAUUAGCAUGUUAGAUUUAGUUAAUGGUAGUUGUGAAUGUGGAUGCAAAGUCAUAUUGAGAAUCACCAAUAUUAAUUAAAUCAAUACUAGAAAUUGACUGUCAUAUAUCCCUCUCUCUCAGCAGCAUCUCUCUAAUUAAAAUGAAUGGUAUCAGUGGAACAGUUCUCGGG
This is a long non-coding RNA of Hypanus sabinus (Atlantic stingray), 520 nucleotides long. RefSeq lists it as uncharacterized. Lineage: Eukaryota; Metazoa; Chordata; Chondrichthyes; Myliobatiformes; Dasyatidae. The transcript has 3 exons. The record is from RefSeq and is a predicted model, not a curated record.